RNAcentral lists this long non-coding RNA (2987 nucleotides) under Mus musculus (house mouse). RNAcentral describes it as "RIKEN cDNA 1700061E17 gene". The record is from RNAcentral. Lineage: Eukaryota; Metazoa; Chordata; Mammalia; Rodentia; Muridae.
AUGGUAUGCAGAGGGAGGUGUGACACAGAAGCACAGGAGAAGAACCAUCAGAGACACAAGCAGUGACUAGGCUUACAUUGUCACAAGCAAAGGAACACCUGGGACCCGAAGAGCAGAAGUUUCUCCCCGGACCCUCUGAAUGGGCAGAAGGACUGCAGACCACUUACUUUUGAACGUCUUGCUUGCAGAACCGUAAAUAACCACUCAUAAGCUUGGGUUGUGAAAUUCUCAGAGGCAAGCUCAUCACCAGAUGUGGCCCACAGAGAGAAGAGCCCCAGCCUGGCUCUGAGUCCACAUGCAAGGAAGGGCGACCAUGCCCAGAAGAGGAGGUGAGCUACUAUAGGUGGGGCUUAAGACUUAACUGGGAAGUUGGUCACACAUGCUAUUCCCACAGGCAUGGUGGGUGUUGUCAGAAAGGUAAGCGUUGAUGUGAGAACCAUCCACGGACAUGAUACAGAAUGUCUGUGGCCACCCAUCCUACACACUCACACCUGCAUGUGUGUGUCCAGUACAUGUAGAGGCCAAAAGUCCACCUCAAGUGUCUCUCCUCAGGUUCUGUUCACCUUGCUCUUUGAGGCAGGGACUUUCAUUGAAACCCUGGGUUAGUUCAGUCCUCCAUUAAGCCCUGAGAAUCCUUUUGUCUCUGCCUCUCCAGGGCUGGGAUUACAGUGUGCCUGGUGCUGAGGAUCAAACUAGGGUCCUAUGCUCACAUGGCAAGCACUUUAUUGCCUGAGCUUUCUUCUGAGACCCUUUUCUCAUUGGCUUCUGAAGUGUCAAGGUCUAUCAACCUGUGUCUGGAAUGGGACUUCUGGUACACCUCUUCUUCAAUCUGGGAUAUCUGGUAGACCUCUUCUUCAAUCUGGGACUUCUGGUAGACCUCUUCUUCAAUCUGCCUUAUCAAAUCUAGUUGUCUUCAAGUUAGUGUAACUCUAUCCUUUCUGUUUCUCAGGACAAAACACUGGGUGUCAUCCUUGACUCCUCUCUACCUCACCUUCCCUUCCAAUGUCCAGCAUUAGACAUAUGCCUAGCAUGCAGCUUGUCUCUCCAGCUCGCCACUGCCAUGUCCUCGUUUAAAACACUUCAUCUUUCCCCUAGACUGUCACCUAAGUUUCCACAGUCAUCUCUCUGUUCCCCUUUGUCUCUGCAUCGCACUCCAUCCCACCCCAGUCCAUCAUUCAGACCUGUAACAGCCCUCAUGUUCCUUAAAGUAAAAACAGAAGUUAUUCCCCUUACAUACAAGGUCCCACGGGUCCCGAUGCCUAUAAUCUUCCAUUCAGUUCCUUGGUUCCAGACGAAUCUCCAUUGUGACGUUGCUAGAAGAUGCUUGGUGGGACAAUGUAGAAGGUUUCCUCCCUGGUUUCAGAGCAGGCUGCUGCAGGUAGGAGGCAGACAUGCCCUCAUUGCUCUACUUACACAUGUCAUCCCUUAUGCCUCUUCUGUUGCUGUGGUGAGAGUAUAACCUCAUCCAUCACCUAUGGUGGAAAGUUUAUGCUUUCUUGUGUGCUGCCCUUGAAGGCAGGGACUGAGUCUGACUCACGGCAGUGACAGGUAUGUCAGAAACCUGCCUUACUUAUCAUCUAAUGCAAGUGUGUGUUCAUGUGUGUGCAGGUGCAUGUGUGUACAUGUGCACAUGGAGGGUAGAGAUCAGCCUCAAGUGUCGUUUCCCAGUCCAAUUUGUCGUUUCCCAGUUUUGGAGACAGCAUCUUUAUCUUUCACUGGCCUGGAGCUUGCCUGGUAGACUAGGCUGGCCAACCAGUGAGCCUUCCUGUCUCAUCUCCCCAGUGCUGGGACUACGAACACGCCACCAUGCCCAGACUUAUUUCUUUCCAUAUGGAGUUGGAGAUCAAACUCAGGCCUCCACACUUUUGAGGUAAGCAUUUGAGUAACUGAGCCGGCUCAUCAGACUAGGAUGUACUUUAUUGAAGGGUACCCUUGGUGCAAGUCAGGAAGUCCAAAGAAAGCAGCACAGGACAGGUUGCCUCUUCUGCUCUUAGAGAUGUCAUUUGCAAAAUGGGUCAAAGGAAAUAGUCUUCUCUGAAGAGACUUAGAUUUUUAUUGCUUAAAUUAUUUCACAGGAAUAACCUUAAGCCAGACCAUUUCCAAACAUCCUGGAAAUUGCUCACUUUUCUGACUCUUUCCUCUGUGUCCAAAUAGAUAGAAGUUCUGCUUCACCUACUAACUCCCCAGAGUUCACUCCUUGGUUCCUCAUUUUACAGGUUACCUCCCUCCCCCAGCUUCCACCUGCCUUUAGCAAGGGACACCUUCCAUGAUAAACCAGGCAGGCCUGGCAUUUUCCACAAUCCCCACCUGAGUCUUCUGAUAGACCUGAGGAGAGGCAAAGUUCCUCAUAGACGGAUGCCGGGAACACACAAUGCAUGGGGAUGCCAUGGAGGACGGCAGAGAGGACUGAGGCCUUCAGCUCCCCUGAAGCAACAUUUACUUGACAUUGUAAACCGAGGGAUGCACACUGGGGAUGGGACUCUGACCCUCUGUGAGAACAGCCCAGGAACUGUGUGUUGCAUUGCGGAAACCCUCUGAAGGGUCAGCACUGUCGAAACAAAACAAAGUCAAAAUGAAGACCCCAGGCACCCAGUUUAAUGCAAGCUGGAGUUCAGAUGUUGUCUCAGAUAUGAUUCUUAUUCAGCCAGUCAGUAUGUGUUUCCUGAAAUCUCACUGGUGUCACAGAGAGACAGCAGAGUGAUAUGCGUUGGCGGCCGGAUGACUUGAAAUGGCACUGCAAACACAAGAUGAUUUUACUUACGAAAUAUGGAGUUUUCAUAAAAUAGUUUGGGAUGAAGGAGACGGAGAAAAAGAACAAUGGGAAACCCCAGAAGACAAAACCUUUAAAAGUUCUUACGUGCUUGGUAUGCCUCUCCCUACUAAAUGUAAAAGAAAUCCCCCCAAAUAAAUAGUUUAAGAAAGUUUUGUAAACAGCAACUUAAUAAAAUUUACCCUAAUAAAGCUUUAUCAUCUGGUUUCAACAACAA